AUUGAACGCUGGCGGCAGGCCUAACACAUGCAAGUCGAGCGGAUGAAGGGAGCUUGCUCCUGGAUUCAGCGGCGGACGGGUGAGUAAUGCCUAGGAAUCUGCCUGGUAGUGGGGGAUAACGUCUGGAAACGGGCGCUAAUACCGCAUACGUCCUGAGGGAGAAAGUGGGGGAUCUUCGGACCUCACGCUAUCAGAUGAGCCUAGGUCGGAUUAGCUAGUUGGUGGGGUAAAGGCCUACCAAGGCGACGAUCCGUAACUGGUCUGAGAGGAUGAUCAGUCACACUGGAACUGAGACACGGUCCAGACUCCUACGGGAGGCAGCAGUGGGGAAUAUUGGACAAUGGGCGAAAGCCUGAUCCAGCCAUGCCGCGUGUGUGAAGAAGGUCUUCGGAUUGUAAAGCACUUUAAGUUGGGAGGAAGGGCGGUAAGUUAAUACCUUGCUGUUUUGACGUUACCAACAGAAUAAGCACCGGCUAACUUCGUG
This 484-nucleotide ribosomal RNA is filed under the name uncultured bacterium. Its description in RNAcentral is "partial 16S ribosomal RNA". It matches the Rfam family "Bacterial small subunit ribosomal RNA", at positions 30 to 507 of the family's 1533-position model. The record is from RNAcentral.